Non-coding RNA from Rattus norvegicus (Norway rat), 5584 nucleotides. The record is from RefSeq and is a predicted model, not a curated record. NCBI's taxonomy places the organism in Eukaryota, Metazoa, Chordata, Mammalia, Rodentia, Muridae.
CAAAUACGGGGGGGGGGGGUGGCGGCACGGGGGUGGUGGUGGAGGGGUGGGGAGGUGGGCGGGCGAUGCCAGGGAAGCUCCGGUGUUGAUGGGUGGUUUAAAAGCUGCAGAGUGGCCUCACUCACAGGCCCAACCUGAACAGAGAGAUGAUGGACACCUCAGGGGUGACAUUUGGGGAUUAGGAACAGGAAGACCAGGUGUACCUACCUGUUCCAAAGCUGUGGCUGUUUUUGCCCCGGGAAGUUCAGGUUCUUGCUGGGCUAUUGUUUGUGGAAAAGAAACUGAGAGACAAAAAGACAUGGGGCAAGCCAUUAAUGGUGGUUCAUGCCUAUAAUACUAGCACACCGAAGGCUGAGGCAGGGGGAUUGCUGUGAGUUAGAGGCCAGCUUGGAGGGGUACAUGAUGAGAUCUUGCCCCAAAACACCAAUAAAGAAAGGAAGGAAAGAAGGAAGGAAGGAAGGAAAGAAGGGAGAGAGGGAAGGCAAGGUUGGGCAUUUGUGGGCUAUGAUGGCCUCUCAUAUCCAGGCAUUGUAGAGGGUGGGUAAAAGCCAGAAGCAGGAACGUGGUAUGUAAGAAGGAAGGUACAAAGGAUCCUGUGAAGGAGACAGAGGCCUCAGGGAGGAGGAGGGCAACUCAGAGUACCUCAGAAGGUUAGAGUGGGUGGGGGAGAGGAAGCUGAGGAGUUCUUCUUUAGAAGGCAAUGUCCAGCCCUACCUUUGGUGUAGUGGAACGCUUUCUAGGGGAAAGGUCUUUGGCAUCUGACCACAGCAGCCAUCUUUGUCCUUCUUUGGAGACAGACUGACAGUGAAGUGGAGGAGUGGUGGCUGAGGAGGCCAUGUGUGUAACUUAGAGAAGCCUCUUAUGCUCAUAGAAUCCUGGGACCAACUGAGGCAGGCUUGAGGCAGAGUCCAGUAGCCCAGCAGGCUCUCCAGGCUGCAGCCUGGCUGCUUAUCAGAGUGUUUCUGAACAGCGUGUGUGUGUCCCUUUGCUUCCAGUUGACCACCUGGGCACAGGUUUCCCUGAGUAUCCGUGGGAAGGAGGGCACAGAUCUACCCUGGGUGGCUGUAGGAGCCACUACUCCGGAAUAGAUCUUUCCUUUUGCGGUGGCAUCAGCAGGUGCCAGGAAGGACAGUGCCAGUCCUCCCGAGGCUAGGAACAGCAAAGCUCUGUUGCCACAGAGAUAAGGGAAGUGAAGAGCAGGUACAGCCUUGUAACAGUGAGCAGUAGUGAGGACGGUUUAAUUCCAGGGGGCCUCGGGCUCUGUGUGCUUGUGGUGAUACUGCCAGCUGACUGCCCUUCCUCUUCUCCAGUUCCUCCUUGCGUCUCCUAACCCAGAAUCCUAGACUGGAUCUGGGAGGCGUUGGCUGGGCCAGGUAAAGGGAGCCAGCUAAGAAGACCCUAGAGAUGGGGGGCUGGUUUUUAUCUCCACAGAGGUUUGGAACCUGUAGGGAAUGGCUGGCAAACUCCCACUUCCGCACCCUCCCCCGUAUCCCCUUCCCCCGUCUCCGCAUGCCAGCACCUCCGUCUUUUCCUGUCUGCUUCUCCCACUCUAGUCUUUGGGUCUGGGUCCGUGUUUCUCAUUCAUGCCUAGGUCUCCCAGGCAACCUUCCAUAGCGCACACUGGAAGAGACAUCAGUAGAUCUGCUCCUGGCUACAGCUGCUGAGAGGGGAGAGUGGAGACCGCAGGGCUGUCCCUUCCAGGGAUCUUCAGGAAUAAGAAGGGAUGGCUUUCAGAGUGCGGAGAACAUCUGGAAUGUUCAGACAGGGCUCAGAGUCUGAAGUCCUUUUCUCCUUUGGGCCCUCAAGUAAACAGCUGUUAACAUUUUACAGCAUAUUCAUGAUCCUAAGGCGCCCUCCAGUGGCCAGCUAGGAAAUUGCAGUUCGUUUAAGAGGAAGUAAAAGCGUACCCUUGAUGAGCCAGUUCACACCAGGCACCAAACACACACACACACACACACAGACACACACACACACACACACACACACACACACACACACACAGACACACAGACACAGACACACACACACACACACACACACACACACACACACACACACACACACACACACACACCAUUAAAAACAGGCUGGAAGCUGAGAUAAUUGGGUACAUAGAGGUGUGGCCUCACUUCCUAUUCCCAGUCUCAACUCGAGCCCCUUCAGCCUCCAUGGCCAAUCUGUGUGGGACUGGGCUGGAAUCCACCUAGAUGGUCAGUGAUGGCAGGGGCCAGUGAGGAGCCCGGAAUGGAGCUCAGUAGGAGGGGCCCUGGAUAGGCAGUCAAUGACUGGGGACACAUAUGUCCUCUUUACUGUGAAUCUCUGGGUUCGUGUGGGUUUGUCUAUGCUCAGCCCAGUGAGUGGCACUAUUAGAAGGUGUGGCUCUGUUGGAGUAGGCGUGUCACCGUGGGUGUGGCUAUAAAACCCUCAUCCUAGCUGCCUGGAAGCCAGUACUCUGCUAGCAGCCUUCAGGUGAAGAUGUAGAACUCUCGGCUCCUCCUGCACCACGCCUGCCUGGAUGCUGCCAUGUUCUUGCCUUGAUGAUAAUGGACUGACCCUCUGAACCUGUAAGCCAGUCCCAGGUAAUUGUUGUCCUUAUAAGAGUUGUCUUGGUCAUGGUGUCUGUUCACAGCAGUAAAACUCUAAGACGGCUGGUAUCUCUGGUAAUUCCUUCUAGCCCAGCAUCGCCUGGACUGUGAGCCCACUUCCUGGACACACAAGAUCUGUCUGUCCAUCCUCCUGAAGCCCCUCUAUGUCAAGCUGGCAAGGCAGACUGUGACUCUCCUAUGGCAAACUGUAGUGUCAUCGGGUUUCUCUGGAGCCUCCAUGAGAUUUGCCUCCCACUCCUCCCUCCACAGUGCCUCCUCAAGUGAGCAUCCUUCUGGAGAAGUCUCUGUCUGCUUUCCUCUCUCCUGCUUUUCCAAGUCACUGACACUCAAGGAAGAAAGCAGGUCUGACCCUCUACUGUCCCUGCCCCUGCCCUGCAACCCCAAGCUCCUGCUGUGGCCAAGCUGUCCAAGUCUCUACAAAGGUGAGGCGGAAUCUGAUAGAAAAAAGCAACCAUGUCUGUUCCCCCCUCGAGAGGCACAGCCGUGUUCUGCCUCGCAGGCAGUAGUUGUAAACUGAGGUGGGCAUCCAAGCAGACAGCUCUCUGCAUCACCCUGUGGUGACACCUUCCAGGGACACCUCCCCAGGCUCAGCUCCUAUCAUCUUCACGUUCUCACUCUGGUCUUCCCAGGUAUUUGACCUCUCUGUGGCUCAGUGUUCUUGCUUGUAAAAUGGACUAGUCUCGAUGAGUGGACCAAGCUCCUAGGUGUGAUGUAAACACCCUGCCUCGGUUUGUCUGUGGCAUGCUGGGAAGUGGGGGGACUUAUUUACUGAUCUCCCUGCCACUCAUAUAAGAUCUCACGUAAAUAUACAAACUUAUAUGUGACCUCACUAAAGUGACCAUUCUUCCCCCAGUUCACAGAGAGGAAGGCCUAGAUAGGUAAGUGACAAUUCUGUUUAAGGGCUGGCUGAGGGUUUUGAACUUGGAAUCUGAGUGCUUCCAAAAGCUUUGGACAUCUAGAAAGGCAUAGAUGGGCUGGAGGCAGAACACGUGGAAGGCUGGAAUGGAGAAGGGAUACGUCCUAUGGGCUCAGGAGAGUAUGGAGGGGAGUGAGAGGCCAGGCAGCAAGGAUGGCUUCUGAGGUCUUGGUAACCACCCUGUUUCCCUGCAAAGUGGGGCUUCUGACUGAAGCUUUGGGUGGUCCAUAGAUCAGGCCCAGGAUUGAGCUGUACAAGAAAACAGCUUGUACCUUGGUAGCAGCAGCUGGAAGAACCUCCAAGAUGGUACUGAGAAGCCAGCAUCCCCCAGCACCAGGCUCUGGAGAAUCUGGCGAUGCUCUGGGUUCAGCAGGUGGACAAAUCAGCAGGAUGCCUGGGGAAGGAGAAGCUAGGGAGGUCGCUGUGUAAGCCCAAGUCUAGAUCCUGAGUCCACAGCCACCAGAGGUGGCUUAUUAUCCAGACAUAGCAAGUUCCUCUCCUUUGGAAAAGCAGAAUGACUCUUGAACUUCCUCUCUUUCAUCUAAACUGAAAGGAGCCAGUUUUCAGAGCUGUAGAGGCGUGGGAAUGGGGACAGUUCCCUCUUGUGGCAAUAGUUUGGUACUGCAACUGAGAAGCCAGAAGCAAGCUUGUGAUGCGUCAGGCUCUCUUUAGCGUGCAGCAUCUAGGAGCAGAGGGUAGGGCUUGCAUAGACACUGCCUUUAUGACUCACUACAAUAAGAGCGGUUUCCUCUGGAGACUAUCGGGGUACCAGGCAACCAAUGAGAGCAGCAAAGGGCACAUGCUGGCUCCUGGCAUGAGCCAACCCUGUGCCAGCAUCCCAGGAUAUGAGAUGAAGAGGUUAUGUCCCAUGCCCUCCACCACCAAUGCAAGAGUCAGCAAAGAACAACAGUGCCCCUGUCACAAUGGGCAUGCAGUGUUCCAGCCACUGUCAUUUCUCCCUCAGGUGUGGCUUCUGAACAUUCCUGGGUUAUUGGUGUCACCAUUGCACUCAGGGUUAUCAUGCUACAGAGGCUGAGGUGAUUAGAUGUCAUGUCUGGGUAGGAUUUAUUUUCCAAGACAGGGUUACUCUCUGCAGCCCUGGCUGUCUUGGAACUCACUCUAUAGAUCAGACUGGCCUUGCACUCAGAGAUCCAUCUUCUGCCCAGGGAGGGCUUUCAUUUUCUUCCUUCCCUUCCUAGCCUCUGGGACUGGGAAUGCUAGUUCUCAAGGAGGCAGCUUGCAGAUCAGAUCCUGCAAGGGUCUGUUGGUCCUGUGUGCAAACUGCAAGGUGUCUUCAGCAAUAGGGACUCACCUGCCACUUCUGAGGGGCAACCAAGAACGACAGGGGCCUAUAAGGUUUUGGGAGUCUCUCGGCAGCCUUAAGCAACGACUCAAAAGAGGAGUCCUCGUGUCUGCUGCUUUGGCUUUUGUUAGAUAGUCUAUGGCUUCUGUGAGAGCGCUGUCAGCUCAGAUGGGAAAAUGUCAUUAAGCUAUACAUGUAUAUACAGACUUAGAUGUAUUAUCAGUAAUUAUCAGUAAUAGAUAAUAUUGGUAUUUUUUAGGCAGAUAGUUAAUAGUUUAACUCCUUGUGAUUAUUCCUUACAUCUUUGUUGUUAUUUUGCCGCCCUUUCCCCUUCUAUAUUUCUACCCUUCCUCCUGUUUGUCCACCUUCCUCCCCCCAGAUCACUACUAUUCUCCCGUCACUGUCCACCCCUCCUGCCAUGGUCCCCCUUUUACUUUUCUAGUUUCUGAAGUUACUGGAGAAAUGAAAGCGGCUGCCAGCUGUGCCAGCACAGAGUCCGAGGCCAGCCAGGAACUAACACAGAGAAGCCCUGUCUCCAAAACAAGAUCAAGCGCAAAUAGAAUGGCUAGGAAACAUCCCAAAAUAUGGUCAGCAUCCCUGGCAGUCAGAGAAAUGCUAAUCAAAACAACUCUGAGAUUUUACUCCAGUCAGAAAGGCAAAGACUGGACCAUAUCUGUCUGCACAAUGCCAUGCUUCCCACCAUGAUGAUAGUGGACUGGACUGUGAGUCUGCCCCAAUUAAAUGUUUGCCUUUAUAAGA